Gasterosteus aculeatus aculeatus (three-spined stickleback) is the source of this 2290-nucleotide long non-coding RNA. Lineage: Eukaryota; Metazoa; Chordata; Actinopteri; Perciformes; Gasterosteidae. The record is from Ensembl.
CUUUGAAUAGGACUCGCGGCUCUGUAAAUUUACACAGACAUUAAAUUUCGUUCUAUUCAUUUUAGACAUAUAAUGCUAAGCUGAUUUUUUUUUUAUAGCACACUGAUCGAUAUCUCUGUAAAAUAAUCAUUUUUUUUUAACUAGCGGGGCAGUGAAAUCUUUGCUUUGUGCUAAAGUCAACAGUGACAGAGUUUGAGCUCAAAUAAAUGCCGUGAUGUCUGGAGCCCUUUGCAGAAGGCAGAAGGCGAGCUUCUACAAUGGGCUUCUGUGCGGCUUGCCAACAACAAGCACCGGCUAUUUUGCACAGGGCUCUGCUGACUGAAGUGAUCCCCAUGGCCUGAGUGGAAGAGAGGAGGGAGAGGAAACCUCAGAGGGAAGAGGGAUAGCUGCACACACACACACACACACACACACACACACACACACACACACACACACACACACACACACACACACACACACACACACACACACACACACACACACUCACACAAUGUCCCUCUCAGGCCUGGGUUGUGACCGGCCCAUGGCAUUGGCCAGACGCACGUGGCUUCCGUUUCAAGGACACUUUUCCAUGGCUGCACUCCGUCUGCUCUCGCCGCCCUGCAUCCAGCGACCUGAAAGCACUUCCCCGUCGAUGUACUUGGCUAUAUCUACGUCCGACCUGCCUGCCAUAUGUAAUAUCAAAGCCUCUGUCAGCGCCGAGCUGAAUGGGAACAAAAGCGAGGCCUCCAUUAAUGAUUAACUGUUCUAAAAGCCCCGGCUUUUGUAUUCCCAUGGUGCCCAGGCUAUCUGGCCACCAUGUGACAUGCUCACAGCAUUUUUCGAGCAGAUUGGGGGAAAGCUAGUGAGCAAACACAGGUGCUUUGGAGCAGCGUUGCCGACGCUGUCAGGGACAACCACAAACAAGAGCAGCUAUGCCUGGCUAAAUGAAUCCCCACCCCUCCCAGCGCCGCCACCACCACCACCACCACCCCCACCCUCUCCGUCGCUAGCUAACUUGUUUGCUAGCUCUCCAUAGCCUUCCUUCUGGAGGCCCCCCCCGCCCCCCGUGAGGCUAAUGUCCGGCCGCUUCACAACUUCUCACACACCCUCCAAAGAAACAAACAAAUAAAAGUGAGGACGGCCGACCGCUUCUUUGAGGUGAUGGCAUUUGCUGUGGUCACGACUAGUGGGAGAGCAAACAAAUUAAUGGUGUUCUAGUUUUCACUUUCCAAACCGAGCCAAACGUCUUUUAGUUCAAGUGGGGCAAUUCCACUGACCCCGGUGUCAAACGCUGCGUGAGGGCUGCACACUCUCGCACUCGAAUCGCAGAGAGGAGGCCGUGAGAAAUUAAACAGGGGGCCCGAGCAUCGGCCCACGCGAGCCUGCUGUGUUGAAACCCCUCAGGGUGACGAAUAAAUCUUAAAUAAAUGAUGUGUAAUAAACACAACAGUGGCUUAUUUUUGCCGUCUGUGUAUUUCGACAGCACACAUUAACAAGAGGUGUGGAGCUCUUAACCUUUUCCUCCAGGCCUUCCAGGACUGGGGUUGCUGUGUCGCUCAACUUUGAUAAGACAAUCAGAUGAUAGGAUGGCGUUAUCUUGACAUGGCUUUCCGGGCCGGGGGACAAAUGAACAGUGUGCGAUAACAGGAACAAAAGCUUGGCUCUUAUUUGUCCUGGCUCCAAAGACUAGAAGAAAUGAUGAGGAUGUAAAACUUACACAAUACAAUAGGUGCCUUUUAUUUCAUUUUCCAGCUCUUUUUUCCCUAAUCACUCAAAUAUUGAUAUUAUCUCUUGUUGGCAUUUUGGUUUGACAUUUUGCAAUUACCUAUUCCUAUAAAGCCGCCAUUAUCCCUUGAAAGAUGAUGAAAAAUGCUUCAAAACCAAAUGAACAGAGAAGGUAUUUGAGUUGUAAAAGUGAGACAAAUAGAUGCAAAAAAAGAGGCCUACUGAUUACAAACACUCAGCAGAUGUUUAUAGAGGAAUUGAAGGACAAAAGAAAUUGCGUGCGUGAAAUGAAGAGAUGGGAAGACGGAGGAAGACGGAGGAAGAGAAAGGUCAAAAGUUGUUCCUUCGGAGACCCGCUUCUGAUUGGUGAAAUGCAACUCCCGUUUUUGGACUUUUGCGGCCCAAUUCUAAGAGUCAGAGAGUGGUGUGUGCUCAAGGAUUCACUCAGUGCUUUGUUUGCUCUAUUGCCAUAAAAUGAUUGGAAAAAAUAUUGGUGCCAUGGCACCAAAUGUGAGAACUUUCUUAAAAAAAAUAAAAAAAUAAACUUCAGAAAUUGCAUGAAUAAAACAUUUGUUUUAAA